AAAAGAAUCCAGCAGCUCCUCAUCCUCUGACUUAGUGAUUUUAUCCCAAAAAGGCAAAUAAAUAGAGUCAAACUAAUACCUGCAUCUAUUUAAUCACAUAGACCAACAAACCCAUCAAAAAUACCAAAUUAUAUGACUAAAAUAGUCACAUUUUUAUAGGUUAUUCGGCACAAAUAAUAAACCCAUCAAAUUCCCCCACACUUAAUAUUUGCUUGUCCUCAAAGAAAAACUCAAUCUACACAAAAGGAGAUUCACCCAACUCUUCACAACUCUUAUAAGAACAUCUUUAGAAAAGCAACCUUAAUUACAAAAGUAAAGCUGAGUUGAAUAUUCAAAUCUGAAAUCUAUGGAGAAUAAAGAAUUGAAUUUACAUUCUUUCAAACAUAAUAGACUAGGCUUGAACUUUGUAAUUUUAAACAUGCAAUUUAAAUUCCAUAUCAAUUAAACCAUUGCUUAAAGAAUUAUUUGUUAAACAGCUUGGUCACAGAAAAUCAUUGCAAUCGCACACAAAACAAAUAAUGCUGAACUUUUAUUUUUUUUUUUUUGUUGAUUUUUUUUUUGUGCUUGAACAUUUAUCAAUUGCCUAAAAAAAAAAAAAAAAGAGAAGGUAAAAUUAAUUCAAGGAUUGAAGAAUGCCCUUAUGGAUGAUGAAUUGGGUGUAGAAGGGUGUUUCUCUCCUACGCAGAAGAUUGAGAUAGAAAUUAUAUGUUGAAUCAUGGUACAUUUCUUGUACAAUUAAGUAAAAUUAAUGAAAGUAAACCAAAAAAAGAAAAAAGUUUUGUCACAAUGUAGAAUUAGAAAGGAAGAUUGAAAAUAAGUUAUGUGUGUAUUAGAAAUUUAACUAUGAUUCAUUCAAGCCUCAUAUAUUAUGUCAAAAAGAAUAACUACAUUCAAUAAUUUAUUCUAAAUGGAUGAGAUAAUAGCUACCAAAUUAACUUUACUUAAGUAAUUAAGAGGGUUUUUCUAUUGAAUUCAAAGGGCUGUUCUAAGUUAAGAUAAAAUUCCCUAAUCAUCAGAAUUUCAGCUACCCAAAAUCAAUAUCAAAUUCAAGCAAAUAUUAGAACAAAUUACUCACAUUUUAACAAGACCCAACAAAAUUGCUGCUGAUUAUUACAAUACCCAGCAAAAUUUAACCAAAACAAUUAGCAAUUGAACCCAAAUUUCAUAUUAAUGAUUUUUCUACUCAAAAUUCCCUCCCCCACAUUUAAAUUACAUUGUCCCAAUGUAAUACCCAACACAAAUCCAAGCUGUUUAUACAAUAAUUGGAAUUUAUGUCCAAGAAAACUUACCUAAACUGCUGGACUUGUGAUCUAAAACCAAAACAGGGGACGCAUCUAUUGGGUACAAAACCUUCGAACACUGCUACUAGAAGAAGAGGGAAUGGCUCCGAAGCUACUGAUUGGGCUCUAUUUUUGCUGGCGUUGGGCGAUCUGAACAGAGACUGAACAAUCUCUGCUUCGCGUGGGGGAUAGAGUCUGGGAAUGUCGGCUGAAUGAAAUUCACUUCUCCUUUUCUUUUCUUUUGUUCUCACCUUACUCACGUGCUGUAUAUAUGAGUCAAAAACAAAAUAGGAGAACAUAAUAUAAUAAGAAAAAGCCCACACUUUACGCUUAUAAGGCCUAUUAAAAUUUCAUAUUCCAUUAAACUCUCCCAAGGAAAG
This 1660-nucleotide long non-coding RNA is filed under the name Jatropha curcas. RNAcentral describes it as "long non-coding RNA (JCUR_LNC001418)". Lineage: Eukaryota; Viridiplantae; Streptophyta; Magnoliopsida; Malpighiales; Euphorbiaceae. The record is from RNAcentral.